This 482-nucleotide ribosomal RNA is filed under the name uncultured bacterium. RNAcentral's name for it is "partial 16S ribosomal RNA". It matches the Rfam family "Bacterial small subunit ribosomal RNA", at positions 28 to 523 of the family's 1533-position model. The record is from RNAcentral.
GACGAACGCUGGCGGCGUGCUUAACACAUGCAAGUCGAACGAUGAAACCUAGCUUGCUAGGUCGAUUGGUGGCGAACGGGUGAGUAACACGUGACUAACCUGCCCCCUUCUCUGGGAUAACGCUCCGAAAGGAGUGCUAAUACCGGAUACUCACACCGAGGCACAUGCCUUGGUGUGGAAAGUUUUUCGGAAAGGGAUGGAGUCGCGGCCUAUCAGCUUGUUGGUGAGGUAACGGCUCACCAAGGCGACGACGGGUAGCCGGCCUGAGAGGGGAACCGGCCACACUGGGACUGAGACACGGCCCAGACUCCUACGGGAGGCAGCAGUGGGGAAUAUUGCACAAUGGGCGCAAGCCUGAUGCAGCGACGCCGCGUGAGGGAUGAAGGUCUUCGGAUUGUAAACCUCUUUCAGUAGGGACGAAGCGAAAGUGACGGUACCUAAAGAAGAAGCACCGGCUAACUACGUGCCAGCCGCCGCGGUAA